RNAcentral lists this ribosomal RNA (465 nucleotides) under Vreelandella stevensii. RNAcentral's name for it is "partial 16S ribosomal RNA". It matches the Rfam family "Bacterial small subunit ribosomal RNA", at positions 338 to 795 of the family's 1533-position model. The record is from RNAcentral. Lineage: Bacteria; Pseudomonadati; Pseudomonadota; Gammaproteobacteria; Oceanospirillales; Halomonadaceae.
CCUACGGGUGGCAGCAGUGGGGAAUAUUGGACAAUGGGCGAAAGCCUGAUCCAGCCAUGCCGCGUGUGUGAAGAAGGCCUUCGGGUUGUAAAGCACUUUCAGUGGGGAAGAAAGCCUUGGGGCUAAUACCCUCGAGGAAGGACAUCACCCACAGAAGAAGCACCGGCUAACUCCGUGCCAGCAGCCGCGGUAAUACGGAGGGUGCGAGCGUUAAUCGGAAUUACUGGGCGUAAAGCGCGCGUAGGCGGUCUGAUAAGCCGGUUGUGAAAGCCCCGGGCUCAACCUGGGAACGGCAUCCGGAACUGUCAGGCUAGAGUGCAGGAGAGGAAGGUAGAAUUCCCGGUGUAGCGGUGAAAUGCGUAGAGAUCGGGAGGAAUACCAGUGGCGAAGGCGGCCUUCUGGACUGACACUGACGCUGAGGUGCGAAAGCGUGGGUAGCUAACAGGAUUAGAUACCCGUGUAGUC